This 255-nucleotide unclassified non-coding RNA is filed under the name plant metagenome. RNAcentral describes it as "partial contains small subunit ribosomal RNA, internal transcribed spacer 1, and 5.8S ribosomal RNA". The stretch from base 1 to 54 matches the Rfam family "Eukaryotic small subunit ribosomal RNA", at positions 1778 to 1831 of the family's 1831-position model. The record is from RNAcentral.
GGAAGUAAAAGCCGUAACAAGGUUUCCGUAGGUGAACCUGCGGAAGGAUCAUUACUGAGUGAGGGCCUUCGGGUCCAACCUCCCACCCGUGUCUAUCGUACCAUGUUGCUUCGGCAGGCCCGCCUCACGGCCGCCGGGGGCUUCUCGCCCCGGGCCCGCGCCUGCCGAAGACCCUCUGAACGCUGUCUGAGGAUUGCAGUCUGAGUGAAACACAAAAAUUAUUUAAAACUUUCAACAACGGAUCUCUUGGUUCCG